AUUGAUAACCGCUGAAAGCAUCUAAGCGGGAAGCGAGCCUUGAGAUGAGUUCUCCCUGAUACUUUAAGUAUCCUAAAGGGUUGUCGUAGACUACGACGUUGAUAGGCAGGGUGUGUAAGCGUUGUGAGGCGUUGAGCUAACCUGUACUAAUUGCCCGUGAGGCUUAACCAU
RNAcentral lists this ribosomal RNA (171 nucleotides) under Vibrio alginolyticus. RNAcentral describes it as "partial 23S ribosomal RNA". It matches the Rfam family "Bacterial large subunit ribosomal RNA", at positions 2759 to 2925 of the family's 2925-position model. Lineage: Bacteria; Pseudomonadati; Pseudomonadota; Gammaproteobacteria; Vibrionales; Vibrionaceae. The record is from RNAcentral.